This is a small nucleolar RNA of Cricetulus griseus (Chinese hamster), 83 nucleotides long. The record is from Ensembl. NCBI's taxonomy places the organism in Eukaryota, Metazoa, Chordata, Mammalia, Rodentia, Cricetidae.
CAUGUCAGUAAUGAGCAGUAAUCACCAUCUUUCCUUUGCAUCUCAUGACAAUUAGACCAACCAAUCCACCACUCUAAGACCUG